RNAcentral lists this ribosomal RNA (449 nucleotides) under uncultured bacterium. RNAcentral's name for it is "bacterial SSU rRNA". It matches the Rfam family "Bacterial small subunit ribosomal RNA", at positions 329 to 795 of the family's 1533-position model. The record is from RNAcentral.
UGCCAGACUCCUACGGGAGGCAGCAGUGGGGAAUAUUGCACAAUGGGGGGAACCCUGAUGCAGCGACGCCGCGUGGGUGAGGAAGUACUUCGGUAUGUAAAGCCCUAUCAGCAGGGAAGAAAAUGACGGUACCUGACUAAGAAGCCCCGGCUAACUACGUGCCAGCAGCCGCGGUAAUACGUAGGGGGCAAGCGUUAUCCGGAUUUACUGGGUGUAAAGGGAGCGUAGACGGCAGCACAAGUCUGGAGUGAAAUCCCGGGGCUUAACCCCGGAACUGCUUUGGAAACUGUGCGGCUGGAGUGCAGGAGGGGUAAGCGGAAUUCCUAGUGUAGCGGUGAAAUGCGUAGAUAUUAGGAGGAACACCGGUGGCGAAGGCGGCUUACUGGACUGUAACUGACGUUGAGGCUCGAAAGCGUGGGGAGCAAACAGGAUUAGAUACCCCCGUAAUU